AGUGAACGCUGGCGGUAGGCCUAACACAUGCAAGUCGAACGGCAGCACAGUAAGAGCUUGCUCUUACGGGUGGCGAGUGGCGGACGGGUGAGGAAUACAUCGGAAUCUACUUUUUCGUGGGGGAUAACGUAGGGAAACUUACGCUAAUACCGCAUACGACCUACGGGUGAAAGCAGGGGAUCUUCGGACCUUGCGCGAUUGAAUGAGCCGAUGUCGGAUUAGCUAGUUGGCGGGGUAAAGGCCCACCAAGGCGACGAUCCGUAGCUGGUCUGAGAGGAUGAUCAGCCACACUGGAACUGAGACACGGUCCAGACUCCUACGGGAGGCAGCAGUGGGGAAUAUUGGACAAUGGGCGCAAGCCUGAUCCAGCCAUACCGCGUGGGUGAAGAAGGCCUUCGGGUUGUAAAGCCCUUUUGUUGGGAAAGAAAAGCAGCAGGUUAAUACCCCGCUGUUCUGACGGUACCCAAAGAGUAAGCACCGGUUAACUUCGUG
Molecule: ribosomal RNA, 492 nt
Filed under: uncultured bacterium
Lineage: Bacteria
Description: partial 16S ribosomal RNA
Rfam family: Bacterial small subunit ribosomal RNA
Source: RNAcentral